CGUCGACAUAUUUGAACCCAAGAAGAAGGUUUGAUGCUUGUGAGAAAAAUUGGGUAAGUUAUUAUUUGGGUUGCAAAAGUUAUUUUUUUCCAUUUGUAAUUGCUUGUUGAAGUCUGAAAUUGGGUAAGAUUUGGUUUCCAGAAUAGCAGAAGAGGUAUGCGUUUUUUUGAGUGGGUGGAUAAUGAAACUUGUCCAAGAGGAAAACAAGUGGUCCCUGGUUUGCUUAGAAGACUUAAAGCAAUGGAGGAGGAAGGUAGAGCAAAGGAAGAACAAUUGAGAUCUGUGGAAGCAAAAAAGAAAGAGCUGCAACAAAAAUUGAAAGAAAUGGUUCAGGAAAAAAAGGCAAAACGUCACUUUUGGUCCAUGUGGUUUACCACUUUUACCACUAAGGUCCAUGUGGUUUCAAUUUGAUAUUUUUGCCCCAGGGUUUUUAAUUUAAGCAAUUUCAGUCCAAUCUCCAAUUUCUGUCAAAUUAGGACUUGUUGAGGGGCAUUUAAGUCCAAAAACAAGAAACAAAUUGAAAAUUUUUUUAAAAAAGCAGAAGAUAGGGGAUGAGAACCCGUCAGCCACACAACCAGCCCACACGUCGACCACCACUAUCCGCCAUCUCCUCAACCCGGUACAACUCCACCAUCACCAUCUCUCUCCCUUCUCGUUUUUCUUCUUUUGGAUUCCAAUCUCUUGUUUGUCUUUCUUUCUCUUGAUUGACCAAAAAAAAAAAAAAACUUUUUGUUGAAUUGUUUGUUCUUCAGAGAAUAUCACAACAACAGCCAAACAAUCCAUAUGGGUCAUAUAUCCAUGGCUUUUUCUCUCCCGAGUCUCAUGUUUGUACAAAUCACACGUCUCCCAUCCCAUACAUCAGAAAGCUUUUUUGCACUCAAUAGAUUGAAAAGAUAUGUUAUAAUCAUGCAACCAAGCCAACAAAACUGGAUGAAUACAAAACAACAACAAAAUGGCAAAAAAAAUACAAAAGGCAACGAUUGAAGUGCCCUCAGUUUCCUCUCAUGUCAAAAAAUCAGAAGCUUCACAACGUAAUCAAAGAAAAAGAGAUGAACCCAUCACAGCCCCACCAACAAAUUGAAGACCAGGAUCAGAACGACGACGAAAUAGAAGAAGUCCAGUGCCAAAUAGCAGUCUCCAACUUCCCUGACGGCUUUGAAUAGCAGCCAAGUUCUGCUAU
This 1180-nucleotide long non-coding RNA is filed under the name Prunus dulcis (almond). RNAcentral's name for it is "sRNA ncRNA". Lineage: Eukaryota; Viridiplantae; Streptophyta; Magnoliopsida; Rosales; Rosaceae. The record is from RNAcentral.